RNAcentral lists this ribosomal RNA (1156 nucleotides) under Bacteroides thetaiotaomicron. Its description in RNAcentral is "partial 16S ribosomal RNA". The record is from RNAcentral. Lineage: Bacteria; Pseudomonadati; Bacteroidota; Bacteroidia; Bacteroidales; Bacteroidaceae.
AGCAUCCUGUCACCAGGUAGCUGCCUUCUGUACCCCCCAUUGUAACACGUGUGUAGCCCCGGACGUAAGGGCCGUGCUGAUUUGACGUCAUCCCCACCUUCCUCACAUCUUACGACGGCAGUCUCUCCAGAGUCCUCAGCAUGACCUGUUAGUAACUGAAGAUAAGGGUUGCGCUCGUUAUGGCACUUAAGCCGACACCUCACGGCACGAGCUGACGACAACCAUGCAGCACCUUCACAAAUGCCUUGCGGCUAACCUGUUUCCAGAUUAUUCAUUUGCAAUUUAAGCCCGGGUAAGGUUCCUCGCGUAUCAUCGAAUUAAACCACAUGUUCCUCCGCUUGUGCGGGCCCCCGUCAAUUCCUUUGAGUUUCACCGUUGCCGGCGUACUCCCCAGGUGGAAUACUUAAUGCUUUCGCUUGGCCGCUUACUGUAUAUCGCAAACAGCGAGUAUUCAUCGUUUACUGUGUGGACUACCAGGGUAUCUAAUCCUGUUUGAUACCCACACUUUCGAGCAUCAGUGUCAGUUGCAGUCCAGUGAGCUGCCUUCGCAAUCGGAGUUCUUCGUGAUAUCUAAGCAUUUCACCGCUACACCACGAAUUCCGCCCACCUCUACUGUACUCAAGACAGCCAGUAUCAACUGCAAUUUUACGGUUGAGCCGCAAACUUUCACAACUGACUUAACUGUCCACCUACGCUCCCUUUAAACCCAAUAAAUCCGGAUAACGCUCGGAUCCUCCGUAUUACCGCGGCUGCUGGCACGGAGUUAGCCGAUCCUUAUUCAUAUGGUACAUACAAAAAUCCACACGUGGACCACUUUAUUCCCAUAUAAAAGAAGUUUACAACCCAUAGGGCAGUCAUCCUUCACGCUACUUGGCUGGUUCAGACUCCCGUCCAUUGACCAAUAUUCCUCACUGCUGCCUCCCGUAGGAGUUUGGACCGUGUCUCAGUUCCAAUGUGGGGGACCUUCCUCUCAGAACCCCUAUCCAUCGAAGGUUUGGUGAGCCGUUACCUCACCAACUGCCUAAUGGAACGCAUCCCCAUCGAUAACCGAAAUUCUUUAAUAAUUAAACCAUGCGGUUUUAUUAUACUAUCGGGUAUUAAUCUUUCUUUCGAAAGGCUAUCCCCGAGUUAUCGGCAGGUUGGAUACGUGUUACUC